AGUCGUAACAAGGUUUCCGUAGGUGAACCUGCGGAAGGAUCAUUAGUGAAUAAACUUGUGUGAGUUGUUGCUGGCUACUUCGGUGGCAUGUGCACACUUGCUCAUUGUUUCGUUCCUCCCCUUCCACCUGUGCACUCAUUGUAGACCACACUGCUGCCUAUCAGGUAUGUGCUUUCCGCACUUCCCCUGGCAUGGGGACUGCCCCUUGGGCUGGCCUUGGGUGGGGGUGGGCUAUGUUCUCAUCAACCCCAAUUGGAUGUGAUUGAAUGGAUGAACUGGGCUCUUCAUAAACCCAUAAAACUUAAUACAACUUUCAACAACGGAACUCUUGGGUCUCGCAUCCAUGAAAAACGCAACGAAAUGGGAUAAGUAAUGGGAAUUGGAGAAAUCAAUGAAUCAUCCAAUCUUUGAACGCACCUUGGGCUCCUUGGUAUUCCCAAGAACAUGCCUGUUUGAAUGUGCAUUAAAACCUCAACUCCUUCUCCCUUUUGGAAGAAUGGGGUUGGAUGUGGUAAUUGCUGGGUCAUCCUCAGCUCUUCUCAAAUGGAUUAACAAGGCCAUCCCAUGCAAAGCUGCAGCUUGGUAUUGAUAAUGGCCUACCAAGGCAGUGGCCGAGUGAAGUGCUCAGCUUCUAGCUGUCUCAUUGUUGGGACAAUAAUCAUGACGAUUUGACCUCAAAUCAGGUAGGACUACCCGCUGAACUUAAGCAUAUCAAUAAGCGGAGGAAAAGAAACUAACAAGGAUUCCCCUAGUAACUGCGAGUGAAGCGGGAAGAGCUCAAAUUUAAAAUCUGGCAGUCUCUGGCUGUCCGAGUUGUAAACUAGAGAAGUGUUAUCCGUG
This 840-nucleotide ribosomal RNA is filed under the name Pluteus ephebeus. RNAcentral's name for it is "eukaryotic LSU rRNA". The stretch from base 670 to 840 matches the Rfam family "Eukaryotic large subunit ribosomal RNA", at positions 1 to 169 of the family's 3401-position model. The record is from RNAcentral. Lineage: Eukaryota; Fungi; Basidiomycota; Agaricomycetes; Agaricales; Pluteaceae.